Equus caballus (horse) is the source of this 2268-nucleotide long non-coding RNA. The record is from Ensembl. Lineage: Eukaryota; Metazoa; Chordata; Mammalia; Perissodactyla; Equidae.
CUUGGGGCUUCUUCAUUCUGUGUAGGGGUUUUUAUAAACUUCUAUGAUUUUUCACCUAAUUCUCCUUUGUUUACUUUUGUUGAGACAUUGCACUAUUUUAUAAUUUAGACUUUUUCACCUUUGGAAAUAAACCAGACUUGGAAAAAAAAUGUUUUCUCAGAAUUUUGGAUGAAUUUAGAAUGUUGUGUAAUUAUGAAAUCAGGACUGCUAAUUUGAGGAAGUAUGAUGGAUGGAGCGUGCCCUGGGUCUGGGUCAGCACUGGAUCUCAGCCCCAGGCGCUGGGAGUCCGGGGCCUCCUGGGCCACGUCUCCAUUUUGAGCCCAGUGGACCAAUCAACCUGGACUUUCGUGGUACCCAGCACAGAAACACUGGGCUGAAAGGGACAGCCAAACUGCAGUCACGAGGAGAUGGAGCUCCCACUGUGGCAGAGAGAAGGGACCUUAGAACUUUAUGACACUGGAGAGUCCCUGAGUCAACCACUUCUGAAGCUGUCUUCGCUUGGACCUCCAGUUACGUAUUUUACUUGUUUUUAAGCGGGGCUGGGUUGGGCUUUCUCUUAUGUGCACUGUGAAGCUCCUGAGUGAUACAGAAUGACAAUUAUUCUCUGUAAUUUCCUGUGCAAGACUUUUACUUCCCUUUCUGUGGAUGCCCCCUCACUUACGAUCUUAAAGUCACAAAUCUCUCAAACUAUUUCUUGCUUUGAAUGGCUGCUUUUACAUAGUGUCUUUAAGUCCCAAAUCAUGUAGUAAUAGUAGUAAUAGCUGCACUCACUAUUUGUUGGGCUCUCUCAGAAGCAUCUUAUGUGUAUAGCUUGUAAUCUCUACAAUAAUGCUCUGAGGCCAAGACUGUCAAUUUCCCAUUUUAAAGAAGACGACGACUAAGGUAGAAAGAGAUGCCUAAGGUCACACUGUUACUGACAGGCUUUGGAACCAGGUGCAGCUGGUUCAAUCCCAGGGACUGUGCACUUCACCACCCCCCUGUGUAGAUUUAAUAGGACACAACUGGGCACGGCUGCAUCAUUCUCCAGGAGACUCACAGGAAGCUGAGCAGAGGGAUGAGUUUUAUGGUAAACAUUUGGAAUUAACAUUUCAUUUUCUUUUUGUAAUUGAAAACAUGAUUGAUAUAAGUUCCCCUAAAGCACUAUUCUGAAAAUAGACCACAAAAAAUAAUGAGAGUGCUUCUGAACCAAAGACUGAGUAUAUUUUAUUUAGAUCCUUAAUAUCUUCAUUUUAAUGUACUUUAUCUAUUAAAAAUGUCUAUUAAAAUAGAUAUGUUAAAACCUCUCAGGACACUGGUUUAUUCUAUUUUGUUCUUAUAAUUCCCGUAAGAGUUAUUUUAUGUGUUGACUAAUCACGUUAUUUGGGCCUGGAACCAUUGCGCGGGUCAAAUGUUCUUUUUGAUUAUGCCUCCCAACAUCAUGAUAUGAUCCUUUUUAUGCCUUUGCAUCUCUUUUUUCUCCAUAGAAUUCUAGGUUGUGUGUGUUGCAUAAAAUUAAAAAGAAAAAACAAUUGAAAGUUCUUAAUUAAAUCUUUAGUAACAGACCAAGAACAAAAGCGCAACUUUGGCUUCUGUAAAGGAUUGUUUAUUCCUCAUUUAUUCUUUAUUUGCCAGCAACAAACAAGCAAACAAACAAACAAAUAAAAAUGAAGACAUGGAAGGCCAAGGAGAAGAAAGAACCUGAGAUAUUUCAUGGUGCAACGGUAAUAUGAGUGCUUUGGAGGAGCUCACAGGGAGAGGAGAAGGAGACAGGGGUGGCCCUCAGGGAGACCCAAGAGUUUUUGACUCCUCCUUGCACUUACUCUGCCGGUCGGAAAGAAACCCCAAUCCUGUCUAUUGGCCUCACCUUUGCAGCUCAGCGGAUUCAAUCACACCCUCAGAGGCCUCCCGCCUCACUCAGUUCAGUCCACUUUCCGCAUUGCCACUAGAAUGUCCUCAAUGAGACACAGACCUGAGCAUGUCAGUUUGUGGCUCUCAUCCUUCCCUGACUUCGCUUUGCCUGUGAAAUAGCAUUCAGACUUCUGAGGCUGGAGUUUGAGGACAUACCACCGUCUGGUUACAAACUACACUUCAGCCCCUGCCUCUGAGAAUGUUCACUACAGGAAGCCCUGCCAUCUUCAAGUCCCACCUCGGAACUCACUUCCUCUGUAAACGCUCUGACAGCCUCACACUAGCCUGUUGUAGAGUUAUUUAUGGGUCUGCAUUAGCUCUCCCAGCAGUGGGAGGCCUCAGCAGCAGGUUCUGCUGCAUCUUAUUAAUUCUUAAUUUCCC